ACGAACGCUGGCGGCGUGCUUCACACAUGCAAGUCGCACGGAAAGGCCCUGCUUGCAGGGUACUCGAGUGGCGAACGGGUGAGUAACACGUGGGUGAUCUGCCCUGCACUUCGGGAUAAGCCUGGGAAACUGGGUCUAAUACCGGAUAGGAGCCAUUUUUAGUGUGAUGGUUGGAAAGUUUUUUUCGGUGUAGGAUGAGCUCGCGGCCUAUCAGCUUGUUGGUGGGGUAAUGGCCUACCAAGGCGGCGACGGGUAGCCGGCCUGAGAGGGUGGACGGCCACAUUGGGACUGAGAUACGGCCCAGACUCCUACGGGAGGCAGCAGUGGGGAAUAUUGCACAAUGGGCGCAAGCCUGAUGCAGCGACGCCGCGUGGGGGAUGACGGCCUUCGGGUUGUAAACUCCUUUCGCUAGGGACGAAGCUUUUUGUGACGGUACCUAGAUAAGAAGCACCGGCUAACUACGUG
Molecule: ribosomal RNA, 465 nt
Filed under: uncultured bacterium
Lineage: Bacteria
Description: partial 16S ribosomal RNA
Rfam family: Bacterial small subunit ribosomal RNA
Source: RNAcentral